This 72-nucleotide transfer RNA is filed under the name Dallia pectoralis (Alaska blackfish). Its description in RNAcentral is "tRNA-OTHER". It matches the Rfam family "tRNA". From Rfam's summary of the family: Transfer RNA (tRNA) molecules are approximately 80 nucleotides in length. The record is from RNAcentral. Lineage: Eukaryota; Metazoa; Chordata; Actinopteri; Esociformes; Umbridae.
GUGGGUGUAGCUCAGUGGUAGUGUGCAUACUCUGUGUGUAUGAUGUCCUGGGUUCAAUCCCCAGCUUCUCCU